CCUAACACAUGCAAGUCGAGCGGUAACAGGGGUAGCUUGCUACCCGCUGACGAGCGGCGGACGGGUGAGUAAUGCAUAGGAAUCUGCCCGAUAGUGGGGGAUAACCUGGGGAAACCCAGGCUAAUACCGCAUACGUCCUACGGGAGAAAGGGGGCUUCGGCUCCCGCUAUCGGAUGAGCCUAUGUCGGAUUAGCUAGUUGGUGAGGUAAAGGCUCACCAAGGCGACGAUCCGUAGCUGGUCUGAGAGGAUGAUCAGCCACAUCGGGACUGAGACACGGCCCGAACUCCUACGGGAGGCAGCAGUGGGGAAUAUUGGACAAUGGGGGGAACCCUGAUCCAGCCAUGCCGCGUGUGUGAAGAAGGCCCUCGGGUUGUAAAGCACUUUCAGUGAGGAAGAACGCCUGGUGGUUAAUACCCAUCAGGAAAGACAUCACUCACAGAAGAAGCACCGGCUAACUCCGUGCCAGCAGCCGCGGUAAUACGGAGGGUGCGAGCGUUAAUCGGAAUUACUGGGCGUAAAGCGCGCGUAGGUGGCUUGAUAAGCCGGUUGUGAAAGCCCCGGGCUCAACCUGGGAACGGCAUCCGGAACUGUCAAGCUAGAGUGCAGGAGAGGAAGGUAGAAUUCCCGGUGUAGCGGUGAAAUGCGUAGAGAUCGGGAGGAAUACCAGUGGCGAAGGCGGCCUUCUGGACUGACACUGACACUGAGGUGCGAAAGCGUGGGUAGCAAACAGGAUUAGAUACCCUGGUAGUCCACGCCGUAAACGAUGUCGACCAGCCGUUGGGUGCCUAGCGCACUUUGUGGCGAAGUUAACGCGAUAAGUCGACCGCCUGGGGAGUACGGCCGCAAG
RNAcentral lists this ribosomal RNA (848 nucleotides) under Halomonas sp. K0-4-004. RNAcentral's name for it is "bacterial SSU rRNA". It matches the Rfam family "Bacterial small subunit ribosomal RNA", at positions 47 to 892 of the family's 1533-position model. Lineage: Bacteria; Pseudomonadati; Pseudomonadota; Gammaproteobacteria; Oceanospirillales; Halomonadaceae. The record is from RNAcentral.